CCGAUUUAGCUGAGGACAAUGUUGCAGAGAAAGGGCAGCUGAGGGCCACCAGCAGCUGACAUUCACAACAAGUGGGGCAAACAGGUACACCGGCCUCGUGAAGGGAAUGUCAGCCAGGACUCAACCCCAACCACUAAAAGGACAAUGAUGAAAUGCUCAAACUGACUGUCUAAUGGACGGAGUCUCACUCUGUUGCCACGCUGGAAUGCAGUGGCACGAUCUCGGCUCACUGCAACCUCCGACUCUCUGGUUCAAGCGAUUCUCCUGCCUCAGCCUCCUGAAUAGCUAGGAUUACAGGCAUGCGCCACCACGCCCAGCUAAUUUUUCUAGUUUUAGUAGAGACGGGGUUUCACCAUGUUGGCCAGGAUGGUCUCGAUCUCCUGACCUCGUGAUCCGUCCGCCUUGGCCUCCCCAAGUGCUGAGAUUACAGGCGUGAGCCACCGCACCCGGCCUUUUAUUGUACUUUCUUCCUCCUCUCUCUCUUUUACAGCUUUGUUAUGAGUUUUCCCCACAAGCCCAUGUAUUUCUUUGCUCCUGUGGGCAGCGAAAACUUUUGGCCUUGCCUCUGGACAAAUCUAUCAGGGCUGAUAGAUUUUGUCAUUGGUACAGGCCCUCGCUUCUCAUCCACCUCCACUGCCUCUCUUUUUGCUGAUCCAAGGUCCCCAACAUUCUCCCUAGCUGGCAGAGAUCAUCCCUGUUUCCCCAUUAUUCAGAGAAAUUUAGCUUAGUUUUGCUUUAACUUCCAUACCAUCAAAAGUCCUAGGCCCAUCUCUCCCUAAUCAAAGGCUCCAUACAAAAGAGACAUCUGCCCUGAGAAUUUCGCUCUGUUGCCAGGCUGGAGUACAGUGGUGCGAUCUCAGCUUGCUGCAACUUCCAACUCCUGGAUUCAAGCGAUUCUCCUGCCUCAGCCUCCCGAAUAGCUGGGACUACAGGCAUGCGCCACCACGCCCAGCUAAUUUUUGUAUUUUUAGUAGAGACAGGGUUUUACCACAUUGGCCAGGAUGGUCUCAAUCUCUUGACCUCAUGAUCUGCCCACCUCAGCCUCCCAAAGUGCUGGGAUUACAGGUGUGAGCCACUGCACCCGGCCCUGGUUAAAUUUUAAAAAUUACUUACAGUAGACUGUCUGGAAAUAAUUUAAAUGUUCCUUUAAUUUUUCUGUAUAGUCUGAGAAUAAGAGUAGUCAAGGAUGACUUAUAAAGACAAAAUAUGCACACAUCCUUCAACCUAGCAAUCCUAAUCUCUAGAAAGGAAAGAAUUACAGACACAAUACUGCCACAGUAAGUUUUAUUUCAGCAGUAAAAAUUUGGAAAUAAUCUAUAUUUCCAACAAUAAUCCUGGUCAUAUAAAUUAUGGUUUAUCCAUAUGAUGAAAUACAGUUUGGCCAUUAAAAAUGACAUUAAGUAAAAAUGACAUUAUUAGAGAUUUACUGACACGAGAAAAUGUUCAUGAUAUAGUGUUAAUGAAAAAGCAGAUUACAAAACAGUGUAUAGUAUAUGAUUUAAUUUUUGUGCUUAUAUACGUGUAUGUAAAAACAUAUCUAUGUUAUGUGCACACGAAGCAAGUAAGGAAGAUUUAGAAAACUGUAUACUAAGGGGUUAACAGUAUUUGUCACUCAAGGGUAGAAUUAUGCGUGAUUUUUAUUUUCUUCUAUUGUGUUACCUGCAUUAAACAUUUUGUACAAUAAAAAAAAAAAAAAAAAAAAAAA
This 1705-nucleotide long non-coding RNA is filed under the name Homo sapiens (human). RNAcentral's name for it is "SDAD1 antisense RNA 1 (SDAD1-AS1)". Lineage: Eukaryota; Metazoa; Chordata; Mammalia; Primates; Hominidae. The record is from RNAcentral.